AAAUGGAUUCUGGUCUAAGCAGUGAGGUGUGAGAUGUGUCAAAUGCAUUUCUCUUUAACAUUGAGCUGUGAUGGGGAAGCAACUACGGUUGCGAACUCUCUGAUGUCACACUGCCAAGAAAAGCUUCUAGCGUAAAGUCAUAUCUACCCGUACCGCAAACCGACACAGGUAGUCGAGGCGAGUAGCCUCAGGUGAUCGAGAGAACUCUCGUUAAGGAACUCGGCAAAAUAGCCCCGUAACUUCGGGAGAAGGGGUGCUGGUGUAAAAGCCAGCCGCAGUGAAUAGGCCCAAGCAACUGUUUAUCAAAAACACAGCUCUCUGCUAAACCGCAAGGUGAUGUAUAGGGGGUGACGCCUGCCCGGUGCUGGAAGGUUAAGAGGAGUGCUUAGACGUAAGUCGAAGGUAUGAAUUGAAGCCCCAGUAAACGGCGGCCGUAACAAUAACGGUCCUAAGGUAGCGAAAUUCCUUGUCGGGUAAGUUCCGACCCGCACGAAAGGCGUAAUGAUUUGGGCACUGUCUCAACGAGAGACUCGGUGAAAUUUUAGUACCUGUGAAGAUGCAGGUUACCCGCGACAGGACGGAAAGACCCCAUGGAGCUUUACUGUAGUUUGAUAUUGAGUACCUGUAAGUCAUGUACAGGAUAGGUAGGAGCCAUUGAAAUAGGGACGCUAGUUUCUAUUGAGGCGUUGUUGGGAUACUACCCUUGACUUAUGGUUACUCUAACCCGCUGGCAUAAUCGGCCAGGGAGACAGUGUCUGACGGACAGUUUGACUGGGGCGGUCGCCUCCUAAAGAGUAACGGAGGCGCUCAAAGGUUGGCUCAGAUUGGUUGGAAAUCAAUCGUAGAGUGUAAAGGUAAAAGCCAGCUUGACUGCGAGAGCUACAACUCGAGCAGGUAGGAAACUAGGACUUAGUGAUCCGGUGGUACCGCAUGGAAGGGCCAUCGCUCAACGGAUAAAAGCUACCCUGGGGAUAACAGGCUUAUCUCCCCCAAGAGUUCACAUCGACGGGGAGGUUUGGCACCUCGAUGUCGGCUCGUCGCAUCCUGGGGCUGUAGUCGGUCCCAAGGGUUGGGCUGUUCGCCCAUUAAAGCGGCACGCGAGCUGGGUUCAGAACGUCGUGAGACAGUUCGGUCCCUAUCCGUCGCGGGCGUAGGUAAUUUGAGAGGAUCUGUCCUUAGUACGAGAGGACCGGGAUGGACUUACCGCUGGUGUACCAGUUGUUCCGCCAGGAGCACGGCUGGAUAGCUAUGUAGGGAAGGGAUAAGCGCUGAAAGCAUCUAAGUGCGAAGCCCACCUCAAGAUGAGAUUACCCAUUCGUAAGAAUUAAGAGCCCAGAGAGAUGGUCUGGUAGAUAGGCUGGAAGUGGAAGAGUUGCGAGACUUGGAGCGGACCAGUACUAAUCGCUCGAGGACUUUACCAG
Molecule: ribosomal RNA, 1421 nt
Filed under: metagenome
Description: bacterial LSU rRNA
Rfam family: Bacterial large subunit ribosomal RNA
Source: RNAcentral